UUGCAGAUCUUCAAUCCAGAGUAACAGCAAGUGAAGAUAAGAGCAAAGUGUUGGAGGCCAGAAUGAACGCCAGUGACAACGAGAUGGAGGAGCUCAAGAGACAGAAUGCAGUGUUGGAGUCCAGAAUGACCACCAGUGAAAACGAGGUGGAGGAGCUCA
Scomber japonicus (chub mackerel) is the source of this 159-nucleotide long non-coding RNA. RefSeq lists it as uncharacterized. Lineage: Eukaryota; Metazoa; Chordata; Actinopteri; Scombriformes; Scombridae. The transcript has 3 exons. The record is from RefSeq and is a predicted model, not a curated record.